This 346-nucleotide ribosomal RNA is filed under the name uncultured eukaryote. RNAcentral's name for it is "bacterial SSU rRNA". It matches the Rfam family "Eukaryotic small subunit ribosomal RNA", at positions 594 to 945 of the family's 1831-position model. The record is from RNAcentral.
AUAGCGUAUAUUAAAGUUGUUGCAGUUAAAAAGCUCGUAGUUGAACUUCGAACGUGGCUGGGCGGUCCGCCUCACGGUGUGUACUGUCUGGCUGUGUUCUCUUUCUUGGUGAGCCGGCAUGCCCUUCACUGGGUGUGUUGGGGAACCAGGACGUUUACCUUGAGAAAAUUAGAGUGUUCAAAGCAGGCCUACGCCCGAAUACAUUAGCAUGGCAUAAUAAAAUAGGACGUGUGGUUCUAUUUUGUUGGUUUCUAGAGCCGCAGUAAUGAUUAAUAGGGAUAGUUGGGGGCAUUCGUAUUGCAGCGCUAGAGGUGAAAUUCUUGGACCGUUGCAAGACGAACUAAGG